This 388-nucleotide ribosomal RNA is filed under the name uncultured bacterium. Its description in RNAcentral is "bacterial SSU rRNA". It matches the Rfam family "Bacterial small subunit ribosomal RNA", at positions 29 to 416 of the family's 1533-position model. The record is from RNAcentral.
AUUGAACGCUGGCGGCAUGCCUUACACAUGCAAGUCGAACGGCAGCACGGGAGCAAUCCUGGUGGCGAGUGGCGAGCGGGUGAGUAAUAUAUCGGAACGUGCCCAGUCGUGGGGGAUAACGUAGCGAAAGCUACGCUAAUACCGCAUACGAUCUAUGGAUGAAAGCGGGGGAUCGCAAGACCUCGCGCGAUUGGAGCGGCCGAUAUCAGAUUAGGUAGUUGGUGAGGUAAAGGCUCACCAAGCCGACGAUCUGUAGCUGGUCUGAGAGGACGACCAGCCACACUGGGACUGAGACACGGCCCAGACUCCUACGGGAGGCAGCAGUGGGGAAUUUUGGACAAUGGGCGCGAAGCCUGAUCCAGCAAUGCCGGCGUGCAGGAUGAAGGCC